This 315-nucleotide ribosomal RNA is filed under the name uncultured Pantoea sp. Its description in RNAcentral is "bacterial SSU rRNA". It matches the Rfam family "Bacterial small subunit ribosomal RNA", at positions 55 to 366 of the family's 1533-position model. Lineage: Bacteria; Pseudomonadati; Pseudomonadota; Gammaproteobacteria; Enterobacterales; Erwiniaceae. The record is from RNAcentral.
AUGCAAGUCGAGCGGCAGCACAGAAGAGCUUGCUCUUUGGGUGGCGAGUGGCGGACGGGUGAGUAAUGUCUGGGAAACUGCCCGAUGGAGGGGGAUAACUACUGGAAACGGUAGCUAAUACCGCAUAACGUCCCGAGACCAAAGUGGGGGACCUUCGGGCCUCACACCAUCGGAUGUGCCCAGAUGGGAUUAGCUAGUAGGUGGGGUAAUGGCUCACCUAGGCGACGAUCCCUAGCUGGUCUGAGAGGAUGACCAGCCACACUGGAACUGGGACACGGUCCAAACUCCUACGGGAGGCAGCAGUGGGGAAUAUUG